AAAGUUUCUUGAGUAGGUAAAAAACUCACCUUUGAAUGAGCAAAGAAACUUUGCUCAUUCAAAGGUGAGUUUUUUUACCUACUCACAGAUUU
Non-coding RNA from Pelobates cultripes (western spadefoot toad), 92 nucleotides. The record is from the annotation of a GenBank genome assembly. NCBI's taxonomy places the organism in Eukaryota, Metazoa, Chordata, Amphibia, Anura, Pelobatidae.